Non-coding RNA from Cricetulus griseus (Chinese hamster), 1286 nucleotides. The record is from RefSeq and is a predicted model, not a curated record. NCBI's taxonomy places the organism in Eukaryota, Metazoa, Chordata, Mammalia, Rodentia, Cricetidae.
CCCCGCGGGGCGGUCCUCGCCCUGCUGAGGAUGGGCGAUAGCUGUCUAGGUGGCCGGCGGCCUCAGGGAGCCGUGACGCCUACUCCGGGCUUCCGCGACUGCGCCCGUGUAGGGGACGCGGAAGGGGCAGACCCGUGGCAUUUGCUCUGCGCGGUGGUGCACAGAGAAGAGGGUUUCCCAUUCUGUUACCCCCACGAAGGAGGGGAAGGACAUCCUCCCAUGUCUUUCGAGCAGUCACUCUUCCCCUCUCUCUGUUGGAGAAAAGCCGACAGCUAGUGCCUGCCUUGGUCGCAGAUCUUGUGGGCAUCAUAAGACUUUGCUAACCCCAUGUCUUGUGCGGGCGAGCUCUGGCCUGCUCUGCUCAGCGUUUUCCCUGUUCAGUCAGGAAUAUUCCUAGAGUGUCUGCCCCAGGUCUUCCUCCGCACUUACCCUAGGGACCACUUAUCUCUUGGAUCUAACCCCACUGCAACCCAGCCUUUUAUUAACCGCGACCCUCACCCAGAGGGAUGGAGCAAGCUCUGAGAAGACUUACACGAAGGUGGCUGGAGGCAGGGCUGGUAGAACCAAGUAGUAUACACAGGCUGCCCUUGCUCGGCCCUAGCUGGGAGCUGCACCCUCCUACUUGGAAAGGGGCCCCCGUGCCCCAGCUUGUGUGGGAUAGAUCACAAGCUAGUGUGUGCCACUCACAUCUUCUUUUUUUUUUUUUUUUUAAGUCAUGCUUUGCUGCUUGAAGCUACAGGAGCAAAUGGUCUUUGUAUAGAGACAGGUUGUUGAGUCCUUGGUGACUGUCCUUAGGUGGCUGUGAGAUGAUAGAAGACAGAGGGACAAAGUAUGGAAUACUUUGGCCAGCACUGGAGGAGAGUGGAUGCCUCGUUUCUGAGUAACCUCCGGUGUUCCAGCAGACUGAAAGGUUACCUGGGGGUCAGCUCUACCAUAGCUUGGUGCCAGACAGUGCUCAGUACAAGCCUGGCUACCCAGGAAACAGCACUGCACCCUGUGAAGGGACCUGAACAGAUGGAAGACAGCGUUCUGCAGCCAGUCCUAUUCUAGGGGCCUGUCACUCCUGUCGAUGGUACUAAUAACUGCUAGAACCUGUGGCUUACUUCCCAGAGACUAAGGGACUUCAUGGAAGAUGAUUCCGUAACAUCUUCAGUGCUGCCUGAGAGAUAGGCCAUGCCCCUGCACAAGAGGAGCUUAAGGCCUAGAUUUUUAGCAGGUCAAUGGCCAACAAGGAGGGGGGUCCGAGCCAGCGGCAGCGGCCGCAGCAGCUGCGGCGGGCGGGGGGG